Long non-coding RNA from Oryzias melastigma (Indian medaka), 579 nucleotides. RefSeq lists it as uncharacterized. Lineage: Eukaryota; Metazoa; Chordata; Actinopteri; Beloniformes; Adrianichthyidae. The record is from RefSeq and is a predicted model, not a curated record. The transcript is spliced from 4 exons.
AUUAUUUUUCAGAGUUGGUUUCAAUGCAGAUUCUCCAACAAACCUGAGAAGGAUCAUCACAGUCAUACUCCUGCUGAAUCAAUACAGGACUCAAAUGAAGAAGACUAUGAGAACAUAGUGAUGGAGACCCAAACAUCUGCAGACAUUACAACCAGACCAGGUUGAAGUGCCAGUUGGCUGGUUCAGAUCCCAAGAUUGGCAAAAGACGCUUUAGAUUACAUAUUUUUCUUUGUGACUAAAUGUAAAUGUUGUGCAGUACAUUGUAACAAAUAAAAAUUAUGCAACACAGCAUCAAUUUAGCUUAUUUACACAAAUGAGACAGACAAAGAAUGGACAUUUUCUUUGAAAAUGGAAAUAUUCUGAAGUUUUUUGGUACAGAAGAACUUUAAAGUAUGACCGUGUGGACCAAACAAGACAAGACCAGAACAGCAUCAUCAGUUGUAAAAAAAAAAAAAAAAAAAACACUUGUUUUCAAAAAUGUCCAGAUAAACAAGACUGGCCCCAUAGAAGAGGAUAAAAUAAUAAUAAUAACUUAAAGCUUAAAUUAUACAGAGGACAACUCAACAACCUGACAAUCCU